AUUGAACGCUGGCGGCAGGCCUAACACAUGCAAGUCGAGCGGAUGAAGGGAGCUUGCUCCUGGAUUCAGCUGCGGACGGGUGAGUAAUGCCUAGGAAUCUGCCUGGUAGUGGGGGAUAACGUCCGGAAACGGGCGCUAAUCCCGCAUACGUCCUGAGGGAGAAAGUGGGGGAUCUUCGGACCUCACGCUAUCAGAUGAGCCUAGGUCGGAUUAGCUAGUUGGUGGGGUAAAGGCCUACCAAGGCGACGAUCCGUAACUGGUCUGAGAGGAUGAUCAGUCACACUGGAACUGAGACACGGUCCAGACCCCUACGGGAGGCAGCAGUGGGGAAUAUUGGACAAUGGGCGAAAGCCUGAUCCAGCCAUGCCGCGUGUGUGAAGAAGGUCUUCGGAUUGUAAAGCACUUUAAGUUGGGAGGAAGGGAAGUAAGUUAAUACCUUGCUGUUUUGACGUUACCAACAGAAUAAGCACCGGCUAACUUCGUG
This 484-nucleotide ribosomal RNA is filed under the name uncultured bacterium. RNAcentral describes it as "partial 16S ribosomal RNA". It matches the Rfam family "Bacterial small subunit ribosomal RNA", at positions 30 to 507 of the family's 1533-position model. The record is from RNAcentral.